This is a long non-coding RNA of Symphalangus syndactylus (siamang), 6817 nucleotides long. RefSeq lists it as uncharacterized. NCBI's taxonomy places the organism in Eukaryota, Metazoa, Chordata, Mammalia, Primates, Hylobatidae. The record is from RefSeq and is a predicted model, not a curated record.
UCCUUAGAAAUGAAGGGGAAGUAAAGUUAUUUUCAGAUGACAGGAUACUAAAAGAAUAUGUCACCAGAAGACUUGCCCUUAAGGAAUGACUAAAGCAAGUGCUCAAAAGAGAAAGGAAAUAAUAACAAAAGACUUCAGGACCUCAGGAAGAAAGAAAGAAAAGUGGAUAUGACCAUAAAAUGUAAUCAAUUAUUUAAACAAAAGUAAUAACAAUGUAGCAUGAUGUUAAUACAUAUGUAAGUAAAAUGAAUAACAACAAUAAUAUAAAGGUCAGAAGGGGAGAAAUGGAAGAAUACUAUUGUAAGCUUCUUAUGCUGUAUGCGAACUGGUAUAAUAUCAUUUGAAGGUAGGCUAUAAUAAGUUAAAGAUGUGUUCUGUUAACCCCAAGAAAUAUGAAAAUAACACAAUAACAGAGAGUUAUAGCAAAUAAGACAACAAAAGAGAUAAAGUUGAUCAUAAAAAUAACCAAUUUGAAAAAAGUCAGAGAAAAAGGGAAAAAGAGCAAAAACAUAUGGGAUAACUUGAGAAAAACAGUAAGAUGACAGGAAUUAAACCUGACCACAUCAAUAAUUACAUUAAAUGUAAAUGGCCUAAACAACACCAGUAAAAGGCAAUUUGUCAAAUUAGAUUUUUUAAAAUGCUAAUCCAACUAUGUGCUUUUCACCAACAAAAAAAUGCACUUUAAAUGUAAAGACAUAACUACGUUAAAGAAAAAGGAUGGGAAAAAGAUACAAUGUAAACACUAACAAAGAAUCUAGAGUGGCUAUAUUAAUAUAAAAGUGGAUUUCAAGCAAAGAAUAUUAUCAAGCAUAAAGAAGAACAUUUAAAAAUGUUAAAGGGAUCAAUUUAUCAAGAGACCAUAAUAAUCCUAAAUGUUUAUGCACCUAAUAACAGAGCUCCAAAGUACAUAAAACAGAAAUCGAUAAAACUAUAAGGAGAAAUUAACAAAUACAGAUAUAUAUUAGAUAUUUUAAUACCUCUCUCUCAAUAAUUGAUAGAAUGAGUAAAGAAAAAGAUCACCAAGGAUAUAGGUGACUUGAACAAUGUUACUAAUAAAAUGUACCUACUUGGCAUUUAUAGAACACGUCAUGCAGAAAUAGCAGAAUACACGUUGUUUACAAGGGCACGUGAAACACUUUCAAGAUAUAUUCUAUAUUCUGAGCCAUAAACAAUGUGUAACACAUUUAAAAGGAUUCAAGUCAAAUGAAGUAUGUUUUUGGAGCAGUCUGGAAUUAAAAUAGAAAUCAUUAGCAGAAAUCUAUCUGGAAAAUUCCCAAAGGUUUGGAAACAAAGUAAUGUAUUUGUCAAUAACCAGGGGUAAAAUAAGAAAUCAAAAGGAAAAUUAGAAAAUAUCUUGAAAAAUAAUCAAAUGAGAACACAAUAUAUCAACACUAGUGGAAUGCCACUUCAGUAAUAUGUAGAAGGAAAUAUCCAGCACUGGAUUUCUACUUUAGAGAAAAGAAAACUUCUCAAGCCAAUGACCUCAUCUUCCACUUUAAAAAUUAGAAAAGAAGAGCAAAUUAAGCCAAAGUAAGCAUUAAAAGGGAAAUAAUAAAGAUCAGAAUGAAAAAUCAAUAAAAUAGCAGACAGAAAAACAAUAGAAAAAAAUCAAUAAAACCAAAAGCUAGUUCUUUGAAUAGAUCAAUAAAAUUAAAAAACCUCUAGGUAUAUUGAUUUAAAAAAUUACUUAAGACACAAAUUCAUCAGUAUUAGGAUUUAUAGAGGUGGGAUCACUCAGAUUCUACAGAUAUUAAAAGGAUAAUAAGGAAGUAUUGUAAACUUUAUGCCUAUAAAUUUUAAAACUUAGAUAAAAUGGAUAAAUUCCUGGCAAGGCACAAUCUACCAGAGCCCACUCAAAAAGAAAGAAAGAACACAGACAAUCCUCUAUUUAUGGAAUAAAGUGAAUGUUUAGUUUAAAAUGUAUGCAUGAAGAAAAUUCCAGGUUGACAUGGCUUCACUAGUGAACUCUACGAAACAUUAAGAGAAGAAAGAAUAACAAUCCUUACAAAAGUUUUCUGAAAAUUGAAGAGAUGAGAAUAAUUCCAAAUUAUUUUAUGAGCCUAUUAUUGCUCUGAUUCUAAAGUGAAACAAAGAAAACUAUAGAUGAAUAACUAACUCUCAUGAACAUAAAUGCAACAUUUCUAAAGAAAUUUAGCAAAUCUAAUCCAACAAUAUGUAAAAAGCAUAAAACAUGGUGAACAGGAAGGGUUUAUCCCGGGAAUGCAUUGAUUGAUUUUGAUAUUCAAAACCCAAUCAGCGUAAAUCACUAUUAACUAUAAAAUAAAAGCAAUAUGAUCAUCUAAAUAGAUGCAGAAAAAAAAUCUGAAAAAAACCCAACACCCAUUCCAGAUUAAAAACUAUUAGAAAACUAGGAAUAGAAAAGCAUUUCCUCAACCAAUUGAACAAUUGAAGGGCAGCUAUGAAAAACCUAUAGCUAAUAUCAUAUUUCAUGAUAAAAGAUGGAGUUUUCUUACUCUAAAUUCAAGAACCAGGGAAAAAUGUCUGCUCUCACCACUCUAUUUAACAGUGCUGGAAAUAUUAGCCAGCAAAACAGGUAAAGAAAAAUAAAUAAAUGGCAUAGACAGGAAAAAUUCAUAGUUGGCACAAUUAUGUAUAUACAAAAUCCUCAGGAAUGCACACUUUACAUACUAGAAUUCAAAAGUAAGUUUAGCAACUGUAUUAGUUCAUUUUCAUGCUGCUGAUAAAGACAUACCUGAGACUGGACAAUUUACAAAAGAAAGGUUUAUAGGACCUAUAGUUCCACAUGGCUGGGGAGGCCUCACAAUCAUGGCAGCAGGCAAGGAGGGGCAAGUCACAUCUUAUGUGGAUGGCAACAGGCAAAGAGAGAGCUUGUGCAGGGAAACUCCCGUUUUUAAAACCACCAGAUCUCAUGACACGCAUUCACUGUCAGGAGAACAGCAUGGGAAAGACCCACCCCCAUGAUUCAGUUGUCUCUCACAAGGUCCCUCCCAUACCACAUGGGAAUUAUGGGAGCUACAAGAUGAGAUUUGGUUGGGGACACAGAGCCAAACCACAUCAGCAACAUGUCAGAAUACAGAAAAAAUGUAAAAUAUCACUGUAUUUCUAUGUACUAGUAGUGAACUGUCAGAUGUUAAAAUUCAAUUUCUUAGAAUGGCAUCAAAAAUAUGAAAUACUGGCCAGGUGUGAUGGCUCACGCCUGUAGUCCCAUUGCUUUGGAAGGCUGAGGUGGGUGGAUCACUUUGAGGCCAGGAGUUCAAGACCAUCCUGAGCAACAGGGCAAAACCUCGUCUCUACUAAAAAUACAAAAAAUUAGCCGGGCAUGGUGGCCUGCACCUAUAAUCCCAGCUACUUGGGAGGCUGAGAUGCAAGAACCACUUGAACCCAGGAGGCAGAGGUUGCAGGGAGCCGAGAUCACACCACUGAACACCAGCCUGGGGAACAAACUGAGACUCUGUCUCAAAAAAAAAAAAGAAAGAAAUACUUAUGGGUAAAUCUGACAAAAUAAGUGUAAGACCUGUACACUAAAAAUUACAAAACGUUGCUGAAAUAAAUUAAAGAAGACCUAAAUACUGGGAGAGAUAUACUUUGUUUAAAGGUCAGAAGACUCAGUAUUGCUAAAAUGAGAACUCUUCCCAGUGCAGUGCUAAUCAAAUUUCUAGCAGGCUUUUUGUAGAAAUUGAAAAGCAGAUUUGAAAUUCAUAUGGAAGUGCAAACAAAACCAAAAGAGCCAAUAUAACUUUGAAAAGUUGAAGUUCUAAAACUAUCUGCUUUCAAGAUUUAUUAUAAAGCUACAGGUGAUCAAAAUAUUCUAGUACUAACAGCAAGAUAGGGGAAAAGAUCAAUGAACCAAAUAGAAAGUCCAGAAAUAGAUACACACACUCAAAAAUAUGGACAACUGAUUUUGGACAAUAGUGCAAAAGCAAUUCAAUGAAGGAAAGAUAGCCUUUUCAACAAACGGUACUGGAAAAGUUAGAUUCCUGUAUGCAGAAACAGACAAAAAAUGAACUUGGAUGCAAAUGUGCAUCAUAUAAAAAGAAGUGAUUCAAAUGGAUUGCAGAUCUCAAUGUAAAAUCUAAAACUAUAAACCUUUAGAAGAAAACAUAAAAGAAAAUCUUCAUGACCUUGGGUUAGGCAGAGUUUUUGGGUAUGACACCAAACACACAAUCCAUAAAAAAUAAAUUGAUAAAUUAGACUUUAUCAAAAUUUAAAAUUUUCAUUCUUUGAAAGAUACUCUGAAGAGAUUGAAAAAAUAAGCCACAGACUGGGAGAAAAUGUUUUCCAAGAAUACAUCUGAUAAUGCACUUAUAUCCAGAAUAUAUGAAGAAUUCUUAAAACUCAAUAAUAGGAAAAUAGCCCCAUUAAAAAUAAAAUAGACAAAGGAUUUCAACAGACAUUUCCCCAAAGAAGAUAUAUGGAUGGCAAUAAGCACAUGAAAAGAUAUCAGCAUCAUUAGUGAAGUUCAAAUUAAAACCACCAUGUGAUACCACUACAUAUAUUUUAGAAUUGCUAAAAUUAAGAAGACUGACCAUAUGGGGUGAGGAUAUGGAGGAAAUGAAAUUCUCAUACAAUGCUAUUGGUAAUGCAAAAUCAAACAACCACUUUGGAAAACAGAUUAAAGUUUUCUAAAAAGUUAAACAUGCACCUACCACAUGUCCCAGCCUCUCAGUUCUACCAGAAAAGAAAACAGAUAUCCGUACAGAGACUUGUACACCAAUGUUCAUGGUACCUUUAUUGGUAAAUAGCCCCAAACUGGAGACAACUCAAAAGUUCAUCAACAGAUGAAUGGAUAAACAAAUUGUGGUAUAUCCAUACAAUGGACUAUUACUCUGUAAAAAAGAGAAAAAAGAAAAUAAUAAUAAUGGAUAAUCACAACAUGGAUGAAGCUCAAAAAUAAUUAUAUUAAGUAAAACAAACCAGUCAAAAAAGACUAUAUACUGUUCAUCCCAUUUUAAUAAAACUAUAGAAAAUGAAAAUCUUUGGUGAUAUAAAACAAACUAGUAGUGAGGAAGAGAGGCCUGGGAAGGAAAUUAUAAAUUACAUGAAGCAACUUUUGGGAGUGAUAGAAAUAUUUACUAUAUUGAUUGUUAUGAUGGUUUCAUGGAUAUAUACAUAUGCAAAGACAUAUUCUACACUUGAAAUAUGUAGAAUUUUUGUAGGUUACUUACACAGCAAUAAGCCUGCUCAAAAAAAGUAAAUCAAGCAAUGGAGGGUACCAAGAUUUUACUUGCAUAUGACUGUUCUCUAUCUAGCCUGCAAACAGGUGCACACAAAAUCUGCAUCAUUAACUGGAGCUUGUCAGGCAACACCUCUGCAACAGUAUGCAAAUCACUGUGAGAAAGACAAUAAUUAUGUUAAAAACCACCAAAAUAUGUUUGUUUCCACACAUGUUUUUUUAAAUUCCCAGAUCUGGGCUGUCUACAUUAUGUGCCUGCCAGUUAACCUAACUUGGGGCUUUUCACUUUGGUUUAAAGAAUCUGAAAUUGAGUUCUGCCCAAGCUCUGCAUGUGGUGAUUCAUGUGCAUGGAAAGUACCUUGGGCUGACCACAAAGUAGAGUUCCCUACAACUACAUCAAUGUCAAAACUAACCACUGUCUCCUAGCUUGUUUGUUUAAAAAAACAUCCCAUGGUCUUCAAUUUGAUCAUUUAAAAAUAAUCUACAAGGUAUACUGCUUUUCUGUUCUUGUUAUUUCCUAACUUUUAAGAUUUCUAUUUUUUCACCCUGUAGAUCUUGUUCUCACUAGAGAAUAAUUUCUACAUUAUGCCCAGGUUCUUCUGAGCUAUGAAGGGGCCCAGACUUAAGGGCUGUUCCUGACACCCUAAAUGUGCUGGGACAAGUCAUUAAGGUGGUCCUGCCAGGACACAGCCAUCUAAAGCAGCAAUCUGCUUCCUGCCAGAAAAUCUCGUGCCUCUGCAGAGCCUUUUCCAGAAUGAACCACACAAUGCUGAGGAAAGGAGAAAGAGACCGCCUACUGCAUUUCUGUCACUCGCUGAAAAGGACAUUCUGUCAGAGAAUCUUCUAGCAAACUUCAAAGGGCAAAAUCACCCCUUGUUACAGAUAAAGCACAGAGAGCUUCAGCAGCUAACAUUCCCUGGACAGGGCACAGCAAGGAUUUGAACCUAGGCCAGUCUGGCCAGAACACCCACAAGCUUUCCUUAACUCAGUGUGCUAUCUCCCCACGACUAGGUCACUACUGCUUUAUAAUCACCUUUGUAGCCACCAGUGGAUUUUGCUCAUCAGUAUUUUUCAGGUAAUUGAUACUUUAGAUGUUCAUCUGCAAGACGUAUGCAGUUUUCAUUGACAUCUUUUGGAGAAACUGACAAAUCUGGAUUUGACUUAAUGCUUUUGGAACCUUCCAAGAUGUUAUAUAACUCUAGAUAGAAGGCUGAGCCUCCAUGAUGUCAGGAAUGUUGCAUUCUUAUUUCCCCAUAGAUAAACCCAUUUGUCCACAAAGUCAAGGAGUCAGGCAGAGGCCCUUGCCAUGGGACUUUUUAGGAUAGAGUAACAAGCUUGGACUUUGCUCUAUGACAGGGUUUUGCAUAGGGAGUGGUAUGAUCAGAUCCCUCAAGACAGAAAGCUUAGGGACCAGGCCAGAGUCCACUGCAGUAGCCCAGUCAAGAGAGGAUGGUGACUUGGGCUUUAGUAGAGCCAAUUAGAAUGAAAGAAUUUGACACAUUCAGAAAUGGCUUUAGAGGUGGAGUCAAACUGGACCUGAUAAAGAACUAGAGAAGUGGAGUGAGGAUAAAGAGAAGAGCCAUGACUGACUCGGAAGAUUUUGUCUUGAAAAACUUGAGAACUCAAGACAGAGUGAAAUAAAAUCACAUGUGGGAAAAAUCU